CUGGACUUCUACUGCGUGGACCUCCUUUCGUCUCGGCGCCACUGGCCUUUUGUCCAGGAGAUCAUCGGCUUCUGCGCAGUGAGUCCCGGAUUGUUCCGUCUAUGAGUGAACCCAGGUCCAGAAAUUAACAGGUAAGAUUGAUACCGUUAGAGCGGUAGACCCACAAGGGGUUUUAUAUUUGGAACCGGUUAUUGGAAUCUGCCCUGUCCUUAUGGAUGGAAGAAGUGAAAAGCGCAACACUUAUCUGGAAAUUAGACGCUCUGUAGUCAGCCCGUUUAAUAUAGGUGGUUUGGGUCAGACUGAGUUCUGGUGUAAAUAGCUCAUGUCGGACACCGGUGACCUGUCUUGACUAGCGUAUCUAGGGUGUAAAUUUUGUUCGCUAGGUCGGGGGGACCGGGAGAGUAGCAUACUCUGUUGUAUAUUAUAGUUUGCUAGAUUUCACCCUAUCUUAACUAAGUGUGCUCUGUUGUAAAUCCAGCCACUAGCUUAUUGAUAGUUUAAUAGACUAGCUGGGUACUGUGUAAAUUCUGCCCUCUAGUUCGCUA
Molecule: non-coding RNA, 545 nt
Organism: Pelobates cultripes (western spadefoot toad)
Lineage: Eukaryota; Metazoa; Chordata; Amphibia; Anura; Pelobatidae
Source: the annotation of a GenBank genome assembly